GACGCUGGCGGCGUGCCUAAUACAUGCAAGUCGAGCGAACAGAGAAGGAGCUUGCUCCUUUGACGUUAGCGGCGGACGGGUGAGUAACACGUGGGCAACCUACCUUAUAGUUUGGGAUAACUCCGGGAAACCGGGGCUAAUACCGAAUAAUCUAUUUCACUUCAUGGUGAAAUACUGAAAGACGGUUUCGGCUGUCGCUAUAAGAUGGGCCCGCGGCGCAUUAGCUAGUUGGUGAGGUAACGGCUCACCAAGGCGACGAUGCGUAGCCGACCUGAGAGGGUGAUCGGCCACACUGGGACUGAGACACGGCCCAGACUCCUACGGGAGGCAGCAGUAGGGAAUCUUCCACAAUGGGCGAAAGCCUGAUGGAGCAACGCCGCGUGAGUGAAGAAGGUUUUCGGAUCGUAAAACUCUGUUGUAAGGGAAGAACAAGUGCAGUAGUAACUGGCUGUACCUUGACGGUACCUUAUUAGAAAGCCACGGCUAACUACGUGCCAACAGCCGCGGUAAUACGUAGGUGGCAAGCGUUGUCCGGAAUUUUUGGGGCGUAAAGCCGCGCCGCAGGCGGUCCUUUAGUCUGAUGUGAAAGCCCACGGCCUCAACCGUGGAGGGUCAUUGGAAACUGGGGGGACUUGGAGUGCAGAAGAGGAAAGUGGAAUUCCAGUGUAGCGGUGAAAUGCGUAGAGAUUUGGAGGAACACCAGUGGCAAGCGACUUUCUGGUCUGUAACU
This 730-nucleotide ribosomal RNA is filed under the name uncultured Lysinibacillus sp. RNAcentral's name for it is "bacterial SSU rRNA". It matches the Rfam family "Bacterial small subunit ribosomal RNA", at positions 32 to 741 of the family's 1533-position model. Lineage: Bacteria; Bacillati; Bacillota; Bacilli; Caryophanales; Bacillaceae. The record is from RNAcentral.